Gasterosteus aculeatus aculeatus (three-spined stickleback) is the source of this 641-nucleotide long non-coding RNA. NCBI's taxonomy places the organism in Eukaryota, Metazoa, Chordata, Actinopteri, Perciformes, Gasterosteidae. The record is from Ensembl.
CCUGUCUGAGUUUGAGGGAGAGGUGCCACGGCUGUUAACGUACCGGGAGUUUAAGGGAGAGGUGCCACGGCUGUUAACGUACCGGGAGUUUAAGCGAGAGGUGCCACGGCUGUUAACGUACCGGGAGUUUAAGGGAGAGGUGCCACGGCUGUUAAUAGACGUACCGGGAGUUUAAGGGAGAGGUGCCACGGCUUUUAACGUACCGGGAGUUUAAGAAAAUCACAGCAGCAUGUACAGGGAAGAAAAUAGAAUUAAAAGAUACACAUUAUAUACAAUAUAAUAAGAUAGAAAUAUUAAAUUAAAUAAACUGAAACAAAAGAAUAACCUUCCAAAAGAUGUAUUAAUAAUAAUAAUUUGUAAAAGGAGAAGAGGAAAGAGCAGCAACAUCACAACAGUACGGGGUUAUAAUUGUCAUUAUUUAGCCAGGGAUGAUUUAUUGUAAAGUGUUAUUGCACUGGGCAGGAAUAAUAAUAACAGUUAAUAGUUAAUAAUAACUACCAACACUAGUACUUUUAAAGGCAGUAUUGUAUUGUCACAUAUUGGCAAAUUAUAAAACAAACAUGUCACAUAUUUGGGAAAUAAAACGGCAACUGUCUGGCGCAAAGUCGAGGCAGCUGUCGUAAAAACGGCAACCGCCGAGG